UGCCGAGAUAGUCUAGCCUGGUAAGGCGCAAGACUGGAAAUCUUGUGGGGAUUUUCCCCGCCUGGGUUCAAAUCCCAGUCUCGGCGU
RNAcentral lists this transfer RNA (87 nucleotides) under Methanobrevibacter arboriphilus. RNAcentral's name for it is "tRNA-Ser". It matches the Rfam family "tRNA". Rfam says of the family: Transfer RNA (tRNA) molecules are approximately 80 nucleotides in length. Their secondary structure includes four short double-helical elements and three loops (D, anti-codon, and T loops). Lineage: Archaea; Methanobacteriati; Methanobacteriota; Methanobacteria; Methanobacteriales; Methanobacteriaceae. The record is from RNAcentral. RNAcentral also lists the same sequence under 2 other names.